RNAcentral lists this ribosomal RNA (253 nucleotides) under uncultured bacterium. Its description in RNAcentral is "partial 16S ribosomal RNA". It matches the Rfam family "Bacterial small subunit ribosomal RNA", at positions 524 to 776 of the family's 1533-position model. The record is from RNAcentral.
AACGUAGGACGCAAACGUUAUCCGGAAUUACUGGGCGUAAAGGGCGCGCAGGCGGAUCGAUAAGUGAGGCAUGAAAGCUUCGGGCUAAACCUGGAGAGGCUGUCUGAGACUGUCGAUCUGGAGUGCGAUAGAGGGGUGUAGAAUUCCGCGUGUAGUGGAGAAAUGAGUAGAGAUGCGGAGGAAUACCAGAGGCGAAGGCGGCACCCUGGAUCGUAACUGACGUUGAGGCGCGAAAGCAUGGGGAGCGAACGGG